GAUGAACGCUGGCGGCGUGCUUAACACAUGCAAGUCGAACGGUGAAGGCGGAGCUUGCUCUGCUGGAUCAGUGGCGAACGGGUGAGUAACACGUGAGCAAUCUGCCCCUGACUCUGGGAUAAGCGCUGGAAACGGCGUCUAAUACUGGAUACGAGCUGCGAAGGCAUCUUCAGCAGCUGGAAAGAACUUCGGUCAGGGAUGAGCUCGCGGCCUAUCAGCUUGUUGGUGAGGUAACGGCUCACCAAGGCGUUGACGGGUAGCCGGCCUGAGAGGGUGACCGGCCCAACGGGGACGGGGACAGGGCCCAAACCCCAACGGGGGGCAGCGGGGGGAAAUUUUCCAAAAUGGGCGAAAGCAGGAUGGAGGAACCCCGGGGGGGGGACGACGGCUUUGGGGUUGUAAACCCUUUUUAGGGGGGAAGAAGCGAAAGGGAGGGUACCGGCAAAAAAAGCCCCGGUAAACAAGUG
RNAcentral lists this ribosomal RNA (467 nucleotides) under uncultured bacterium. RNAcentral's name for it is "partial 16S ribosomal RNA". It matches the Rfam family "Bacterial small subunit ribosomal RNA", at positions 28 to 507 of the family's 1533-position model. The record is from RNAcentral.